GUGCUCACUUUGGCAGUACAUAUGCUAAAAAUUGGAACGAUACAGAGAAGAUUAGCAUGGCCCUUGUGUAAGGAUGACAAAUUUGUGAAGCAUUCCAUAUUCAU
This is a small nuclear RNA of Suncus etruscus (white-toothed pygmy shrew), 104 nucleotides long. Lineage: Eukaryota; Metazoa; Chordata; Mammalia; Eulipotyphla; Soricidae. The record is from RefSeq and is a predicted model, not a curated record.